RNAcentral lists this ribosomal RNA (102 nucleotides) under Puccinia kuehnii. RNAcentral's name for it is "5.8S ribosomal RNA". It matches the Rfam family "5.8S ribosomal RNA", at positions 3 to 103 of the family's 154-position model. Rfam says of the family: 5.8S ribosomal RNA (5.8S rRNA) is a component of the large subunit of the eukaryotic ribosome. It is transcribed by RNA polymerase I as part of the 45S precursor that also contains 18S and 28S rRNA. Lineage: Eukaryota; Fungi; Basidiomycota; Pucciniomycetes; Pucciniales; Pucciniaceae. The record is from RNAcentral.
CUUUUAACAAUGGAUUUUCUAGGCUCUCACAUCGAUGAAGAACACAGUGAAAUGUGAUAAGUAAUGUGAAUUGCAGAAUUCAGUGAAUCAUUGAAUCUUUGA